GCAUGAUCAAUGAACACGUUUUAAGUUGAGAUACACUUAGAUCGUUUCAGAUCUCCUUAUCACCUCUGAAAAUAUUCCAAAUGACAAAUAAUCGCGUACAUAAUUGUAAACGUAUGAACAAAAUGUUGUGCUUGAUUCUUUUACUAGCUGUUACUGGACACGGCCUAGGUAGGAUUUAUGAUUAAGAUAUAUUAUAUUUUCAGUAUUAAUUAUUUAUAUUGAUUACUUGAUUCCCAGUGACAACUAUUUGAUAAACUUUAAGCUAUAAGCUAUUAAAACAAUACUAGAAGUUGAUUUCUGCAGGGAAAAUAAAGUAUGUGUUACAUAUUUGUUUUUCGUUCAUUUUUUAUAUAUAAAUAAGGCCGUUAGUUUUCUCAUUUGAAUUGUUUUACAUUGUCAUAUCGGGCCUUUUAUAGCUGACUAUGCGGUAUGGGCUUUGCGCAUUGAUGAAGGCCGUACGGUGACCUAUAGUUGUUAAUUUCUGUGUCAUUUUGAUAUCUUGUGGACAUUUGUCUCAUUGGCAAUCAUACCACUUCUCCCUUUAUUUAUAUAUAUAUAUAUAUAUAUAUAUUAUAUAUAUAUAUAUAUAUAUAUAUAUAUUGAUCGAUACGUCUGUAUAUAUAACUAUAUGAUAAAUAACUAAUUCAGUAUUUGAAUGUCUUGAAGUCAUAGCCUGGCAAGUUUAACACUUAUCAUGAAUUUUAUGACAAAUGCAUUAGCGUAGAUAUUUAUUCAUAUUCAUACUUACACAAUGGCACAAUAAAGAAAAGAAAGAGGUUCAACAUUUUGCAUGUAUGUGUGUAAGAGUUGCCUUUGUUUGUUUUGUUUACAUAUUUGUUUUAAUUUGUAUACAAGUUUUUGCAUAACGUCAUUUGACAAAUACUUCAAGCAAAUCAUGGACAAGAAUAAAUAAAUUAAUCGAUUGAAAAAGAAUACAGUGAACCUACCAUGCCUAACUUGACGUAAAAUAUACUGUAUCAUUUGUAUCACAGUGCAACUUUACGACGAUAUAUAUAACUUAAAACUUAAAAUGCAGAGAAUAAAAAAGUGAAGGCAAACUCUGGUUUCUGUCCCGGAAUUGCUUCUGUUAAAACAUUUUAUGACUGUUGAACAUCGGUAUACUACUGUUGCCAUUAUUCAUACAUCAAAAUUGAUUGCGUUUCAAUUUAAGCCAGUGACCAGCCAUGCACAGAUUUAGGAGGCCAUUGCCAGGAUGACCACCACAAAUGUAGUGGUUCUUACUACUCAGGGAAAUGUUCUGGUAGUGCUACAAGACGUUGUUGUACAAGGACAGCAGUAGGUAUGUUACCGUUAAGUAUAUUAAUAAUGAACCAAUUGACUCUCAAAGAAGUCGAUAAUCAUAAGACGUGGCAAUUAGAUGCAAUUAGAUGCCCUGUUCGUUAUAUGUAUAUGUUAAUAUAUUGGUAGUAUUGUGUCACAGAAAACUAUCUUUAGAUUUUCAGAACUUUUUUUGGAGCUGCAGAAAACGUUUUUGUAUGAGGCUUAAGACGAUAAGCACUGAGUGACUGUUAAAUACAGUUACAUUAAGGUGGUACCUAACACUACAGGAGAUAACUCUGUAAAUCACUAAACGUUUUAAUUACGUUUGUGUUGUAAAAGGAAUAUUAAGCUUCAUAAUGAUCAAAUUGGUGUUUGUCAAAACUGCUAUAUAACCAGUGUAAUUUUCUCACAAAACGGUUGAUUCAAAAUUUUUUUAAUUUUUUUUUUUUUGUUAAAGGGUCAAAGUAAUAACUUUGUACAAAAUUUAAUGAAAUUAAACGAGCCCAAAUUAAUUUUAGUGAAAGUGUUGGGUACCACCUUAAAUGAAGGCUAGAUAUAUUUUGUCUGCAAAACACAUGUUUCUGUUGACCUAUCCCAGCCUAAAUAGAAAGUCAAAUACAUAUAAGGUGAGGAAUAUAGCAACUUUCAUUUAAUAAUACAUUCAGUCGACAACAAUAAGAGAGACUAACAAUGGCUGCUCAAAUUUAUUUUUAAUUUUCUCGAUUACUCGUGACAAUUACCCCCUAUGCAUAUCAAAAAGAGGAAAUGAAGAAAUCUCGUGGAAUUUUAAUGUAACAGAUUUUGAUCAUGUGCAUAAUAUAACUGUAUAUAUAUAUAAUUUAAUUCGUACCUUUUAAACCCAAGCACUAUGAUACUAACAAAUCAACCAAUUAUAAUGUAAAACCAUUUUACUUAAAAAAAAGGCUAUUUGACAAAGUAACUGGGGUAUUGUUGAAAUCAAUUGUAGAACAUGAUACUGGUGACUGCUCUAAUGUUAAGAUAAUAUCACGUGACAGUUGGGGAGCCCGAAGACCAGCGAGUAUAUCGACUAUCCAUUCA
RNAcentral lists this long non-coding RNA (2340 nucleotides) under Mytilus galloprovincialis (Mediterranean mussel). Lineage: Eukaryota; Metazoa; Mollusca; Bivalvia; Mytilida; Mytilidae. The record is from RNAcentral.